This is a long non-coding RNA of Sardina pilchardus (European sardine), 190 nucleotides long. RefSeq lists it as uncharacterized. NCBI's taxonomy places the organism in Eukaryota, Metazoa, Chordata, Actinopteri, Clupeiformes, Clupeidae. The record is from RefSeq and is a predicted model, not a curated record. The transcript is spliced from 3 exons.
CGUUGAGGGUAUUCCUGCUCUUUGCCAGCUCAGUACGGAUCUUUGACUUCGCCGCCAUUGUCUCUGGAGCGGGUGCAUGUAGCCUGGUUGACUGGAGGGCCGGACUUCACGGGCGUUGCUGUUUUGUCUUACGAUUUGGUUUCCGUCUAGUGUUCAUCUCGUCUCCUUCGUCUCCUGUUUGUAUCUGUGA